CGAGAUCAAGCCACUGCACUCCAUCCUCAGUGACACAGCGAGACUCCAUUUCAAAAAAAAAAGAAAGAAAGAAAAGAAAAAUGGAAAGGGAUGAGCCAAAAAUAGACACAUCUGGCUUUGGAAUACAGCAGCAUGCACAUCUACUCACUCAUUUAGGGUGCUAUCACCCAACCCUACCAUGCCUGGCUCCAAACUUGUCUCUGCCUCCAAGCCUCCUAUUAACUAAGUGUAGAAUGGCUGGUUGGGAAGAAAAGGUGCUGGAUAAUUCUAGACCAAGUCUGCGUGGUCUAAAGUGUGGAUGAAUCUUAUCUCUUGCAAGAAUGCACAUGGAAACCAUCUUAGGUAUCAAUAUGACUGCCUGUCUCCAGUGGUCAAAUACCAUAGUACUAGAAUUUGGCCAGGGCAGCUGUUGAGCACUUAGUAGAGUGUUGCUUCAGAGAAAUCCUCUUCUUUGUAAUUGAAUCCAGCAGCUGCUCCAAGCUUUUCUGCCAUUUGAAGCUUCUGCUGGGAGCCAGCUGUGACCAGAGGAAUAGCUCCAGCCAUCCGGGAAACCACUGGCCAUGUUUCAUGCUGCCCUACGGAGAGGCUCAUAUGUCAAGGAACUGAUGUCUCUGGCUAACAUCUGACAAGAACCUGAAGCCUGUGACAGCCAUGAGAGUGAACUUGCAGGCCGAUUGCUCCCCAGGUGAGCCUGGCAAUGACCACAGGCCUGGCUGAUGCCUUGGGAGAGACCUGGAGCUGAAGGACCCAGCUGAAUUGCUCCCAGAUUUCUGACCCACAGAAAUGGUGGGGAUAAUAAUAUGCAUUGUUUUAAGCCACUAA
This is a long non-coding RNA of Chlorocebus sabaeus (green monkey), 822 nucleotides long. RefSeq lists it as uncharacterized. The record is from RefSeq and is a predicted model, not a curated record. Lineage: Eukaryota; Metazoa; Chordata; Mammalia; Primates; Cercopithecidae.